Molecule: ribosomal RNA, 462 nt
Filed under: Aureobasidium pullulans
Lineage: Eukaryota; Fungi; Ascomycota; Dothideomycetes; Dothideales; Saccotheciaceae
Description: eukaryotic LSU rRNA
Rfam family: 5.8S ribosomal RNA (bases 109-262)
Source: RNAcentral
GCUCGGUCUCGAGCCGCUGGGGAUUCGUCCCAGGCGAGCGCCCGCCAGAGUUAAACCAAACUCUUGUUAUUUAACCGGUCGUCUGAGUUAAAAUUUUGAAUAAAUCAAAACUUUCAACAACGGAUCUCUUGGUUCUCGCAUCGAUGAAGAACGCAGCGAAAUGCGAUAAGUAAUGUGAAUUGCAGAAUUCAGUGAAUCAUCGAAUCUUUGAACGCACAUUGCGCCCCUUGGUAUUCCGAGGGGCAUGCCUGUUCGAGCGUCAUUACACCACUCAAGCUAUGCUUGGUAUUGGGCGUCGUCCUUAGUUGGGCGCGCCUUAAAGACCUCGGCGAGGCCACUCCGGCUUUAGGCGUAGUAGAAUUUAUUCGAACGUCUGUCAAAGGAGAGGAACUCUGCCGACUGAAACCUUUAUUUUUCUAGGUUGACCUCGGAUCAGGUAGGGAUACCCGCUGAACUUAAGCA